AGCGAACGCUGGCGGCAGGCCUAACACAUGCAAGUCGAACGGAUCCUUCGGGAUUAGUGGCGGACGGGUGAGUAACACGUGGGAACGUGCCCUUUGGUUCGGAACAACUCAGGGAAACUUGAGCUAAUACCGGAUGUGCCCUUCGGGGGAAAGAUUUAUCGCCAUUGGAGCGGCCCGCGUCUGAUUAGCUAGUUGGUGAGGUAACGGCCCACCAAGGCGACGAUCAGUAGCUGGUCUGAGAGGAUGAUCAGCCACACUGGGACUGAGACACGGCCCAGACUCCUACGGGAGGCAGCAGUGGGGAAUCUUGCGCAAUGGGCGAAAGCCUGACGCAGCCAUGCCGCGUGAAUGAUGAAGGUCUUAGGAUUGUAAAAUUCUUUCAGCGGGGACGAUAAUGACGGUACCCGCAGAAGAAGCUCCGGCUAACUGCGUG
RNAcentral lists this ribosomal RNA (433 nucleotides) under uncultured bacterium. RNAcentral's name for it is "partial 16S ribosomal RNA". It matches the Rfam family "Bacterial small subunit ribosomal RNA", at positions 29 to 507 of the family's 1533-position model. The record is from RNAcentral.